Molecule: ribosomal RNA, 465 nt
Filed under: Vreelandella stevensii
Lineage: Bacteria; Pseudomonadati; Pseudomonadota; Gammaproteobacteria; Oceanospirillales; Halomonadaceae
Description: partial 16S ribosomal RNA
Rfam family: Bacterial small subunit ribosomal RNA
Source: RNAcentral
CCUACGGGAGGCAGCAGUGGGGAAUAUUGGACAAUGGGGGGAACCCUGAUCCAGCCAUGCCGCGUGUGUGAAGAAGGCCCUCGGGUUGUAAAGCACUUUCAGUGAGGAAGAACGCCUGGUGGUUAAUACCCAUCAGGAAAAACAUCACUCACAGAAGAAGCACCGGCUAACUCCGUGCCAGCAGCCGCGGUAAUACGGAGGGUGCGAGCGUUAAUCGGAAUUACUGGGCGUAAAGCGCGCGUAGGUGGCUUGAUAAGCCGGUUGUGAAAGCCCCGGGCUCAACCUGGGAACGGCAUCCGGAACUGUCAAGCUAGAGUGCAGGAGAGGAAGGUAGAAUUCCCGGUGUAGCGGUGAAAUGCGUAGAGAUCGGGAGGAAUACCAGUGGCGAAGGCGGCCUUCUGGACUGACACUGACACUGAGGUGCGAAAGCGUGGGUAGCAAACAGGAUUAGAUACCCUUGUAGUC